RNAcentral lists this transfer RNA (61 nucleotides) under Hyalella kochi. RNAcentral describes it as "tRNA-Ser". The record is from RNAcentral. Lineage: Eukaryota; Metazoa; Arthropoda; Malacostraca; Amphipoda; Hyalellidae.
AGUUGUUUAGUAUAAACUAUACAUUUGCUUUGAAAGCUUAAGACGAGCCCCUCAACAGCUU